UGAUCUGAGGAGUUACUCGGUGCGAUUCCGAUAGCUACCAUAUGAUCACCAACAGGGCUACCGGAUUUUCAAGUUUGAAUCU
Molecule: unclassified non-coding RNA, 82 nt
Filed under: Caenorhabditis briggsae
Lineage: Eukaryota; Metazoa; Nematoda; Chromadorea; Rhabditida; Rhabditidae
Description: comCb1 C/D snoRNA
Source: RNAcentral